Molecule: ribosomal RNA, 667 nt
Filed under: uncultured fungus
Lineage: Eukaryota; Fungi
Description: eukaryotic LSU rRNA
Rfam family: Eukaryotic large subunit ribosomal RNA
Source: RNAcentral
CCCGCUGAACUUAAGCAUAUCAAUAAGCGGAGGAAAAGAAACUAACAAGGAUUCCCCUAGUAACUGCGAGUGAAGCGGGAAGAGCUCAAAUUUAAAAUCUGGUGGUCCUUGCGGCCGCUCGAGUUGUAACCUAGAGAAGUGCUUUCCGCGCUGGACCGUGUACAAGUCUCUUGGAAAGGAGCAUCGUAGAGGGUGACAAUCCCGUCUUUGACACGGACUGCCAGGGCUUAUGUGAUGCGCUCUCAAAGAGUCGAGUUGUUUGGGAAUGCAGCUCAAAAUGGGUGGUAAAUUCCAUCUAAAGCUAAAUAUUGGCGAGAGACCGAUAGCGAACAAGUACCGUGAGGGAAAGAUGAAAAGAACUUUGAAAAGAGAGUUAAACAGUACGUGAAAUUGUUGAAAGGGAAACGAUUCAAGUCAGUCGCGUCGACCGGUAAUCAACCUUUGCGUUCGCGCUAGGCUUACUUUCUGGUUGACGGGUCAGCAUCAAUUUUGACCGUCGGACAAAGGCUUUGGGAAUGUGGCAUCUUUGGAUGUGUUAUAGCCCAUGGUCGCAUGCGAUGGUUGGGAUUGAGGAACUCGGCACGCCUGCAAAGGUCGGGGGUUAUCCCACGUUAACGUGCUUCGGAUGCUGGCGUAAUGGCUUGAACCGACCCGUCUUGAAACACGG